UGACCAUGGGGCUGGGAUGUACUGAUUGUUUGGAUCGGUGCGACCUAGGGGUACAGGGAGUGCCUCCGCCGAGGGCCGGGUCAGGCAGGUU
Molecule: non-coding RNA, 91 nt
Organism: Pseudomonas floridensis
Lineage: Bacteria; Pseudomonadati; Pseudomonadota; Gammaproteobacteria; Pseudomonadales; Pseudomonadaceae
Source: Rfam